AGUCCAUGAUGUGGGCAAAGCCUUAACAUAUCCUUGUAUCUCUCCCAUGCUUUGAAAAGUGAUUCAUUGUAUUUUUGUGUAAAUUCGUUGUUUUGGCUUCUUAGCAU
Molecule: small nucleolar RNA, 107 nt
Organism: Vicia villosa (hairy vetch)
Lineage: Eukaryota; Viridiplantae; Streptophyta; Magnoliopsida; Fabales; Fabaceae
Source: RefSeq, a predicted model, not a curated record